GUCCGUUCAUCCCCUUGGGGACGCAUGAUAACCUAGCAUGGAACGGGGCUAGG
This 53-nucleotide non-coding RNA is filed under the name unclassified sequences. The record is from Rfam.